CUCCUGGAAACGGGUGGUAAUGCCGGAUGCUCCGACUCCUCGCAUGGGGUGUCGGGAAAGAUUUCAUCGGUAUGGGAUGGGGUCGCGUCCUAUCAGGUAGUCGGCGGGGUAACGGCCCACCGAGCCUACGACGGGUAGCCGGCCUGAGAGGGCGACCGGCCACAUUGGGACUGAGAUACGGCCCAGACUCCUACGGGAGGCAGCAGUGGGGAAUAUUGCACAAUGGGCGCAAGCCUGAUGCAGCGACGCCGCGUGCGGGAUGACGGCCUUCGGGUUGUAAACCGCUUUUGAUCGGGAGCAAGCCUUCGGGUGAGUGUACCUUUCGAAUAAGCACCGGCUAACUACGUGCCAGCAGCCGCGGUAAUACGUAGGGUGCAAGCGUUAUCCGGAAUUAUUGGGCGUAAAGGGCUCGUAGGCGGUUCGUCGCGUCCGGUGUGAAAGUCCAUCGCUUAACGGUGGAUCUGCGCCGGGUACGGGCGGGCUGGAGUGCGGUAGGGGAGACUGGAAUUCCCGGUGUAACGGUGGAAUGUGUAGAUAU
This 538-nucleotide ribosomal RNA is filed under the name Bifidobacterium pseudocatenulatum. RNAcentral describes it as "bacterial SSU rRNA". It matches the Rfam family "Bacterial small subunit ribosomal RNA", at positions 147 to 697 of the family's 1533-position model. Lineage: Bacteria; Bacillati; Actinomycetota; Actinomycetes; Bifidobacteriales; Bifidobacteriaceae. The record is from RNAcentral.